RNAcentral lists this ribosomal RNA (410 nucleotides) under uncultured bacterium. RNAcentral describes it as "bacterial SSU rRNA". It matches the Rfam family "Bacterial small subunit ribosomal RNA", at positions 32 to 419 of the family's 1533-position model. The record is from RNAcentral.
AAUCAACGCUGGCGGCGUGCCUCAGACAUGCAAGUCGAACGCGAAAGUUCCCUUCGGGGGCGAGUAGAGUGGCGCACGGGUGAGUAACACGUAGGUAAUCUACCUUUGGGUGGGGAAGUAACAGCCGGAAACGGCUGCUAAUACCGCAUAAUGCAGCGGCUCGACAUCGAGACAGUUGUUAAAGCGGGGGAGUCGCAAGACCUCGCGCCUAAAGAGGAGCCUGCGGCGGAUUAGCUUGUUGGUGAGGUAAUGGCUCACCAAGGCAUCGAUCCGUAGCCGGCCUGAGAGGGCGGUCGGCCACACUGACACUGACAUACGGGUCAGACUCCUACGGGAGGCAGCAGUCGGGAAUUUUUGGGCAAUGGGCGCAAGCCUGACCCAGCAACGCCGCGUGAAGGAUGAAAUCCCUC